This 380-nucleotide ribosomal RNA is filed under the name uncultured eukaryote. RNAcentral's name for it is "partial 18S ribosomal RNA". It matches the Rfam family "Eukaryotic small subunit ribosomal RNA", at positions 592 to 975 of the family's 1831-position model. The record is from RNAcentral.
CAAUAGCGUAUAUUAAAGCUGUUGCGGUUAAAAAGCUCGUAGUUGGAUUUCUGCCGAGGACAACUGGUCCGCCCAUUGGGUGAGCACAUAGUUUGGUCUCGACAUCUUGCUGGAAACUGCUACUGUACUUGGCUGUAUGGUACAGAGUCCAGCACUUUCACUUUGAGGAAAUUGGAGUGUUUCAAGCAGGCACAUGCCUUUGGACACAGUAGCAUGGAAUAAUUAGAUUGGGCUUUUGCUCCAACUUGUCGGUUUCUGGAGCUGAGGUGAGAAUUAAUGGGGAUUGUUGGGGGCAUCCGAAUUUAGCCGUCAGAGGUGAAAUUCUUGGAUCUGCUAAAGACGGACAACUGCGAAAGCGUUUGCCCAGGAUGUUUUCAUUG